AAAUAUUAAAUAUCUCAUCAACCAAGAAACCACUCAAUCAAAAUCAAAAGGAUGACAAAAUUUGAAUUAAAAAUGAAAUUAAAAAGAUUUAAAAUAGGAAAUUAAAGAGAAAGUUCUAAACCAUAAGCAAAACAAUGAAUAAAUAUGGCCAAGGAAAAUACACAAAGUCCCGAGUAUUACACAUAAAGAGAUCUGAACAGUUGGAUGCAAAAAUGUUUGAAAAUAAUCAAAAAAUAAAUUGCAAAAGGAAAC
This 252-nucleotide long non-coding RNA is filed under the name Lathyrus oleraceus (garden pea). RNAcentral's name for it is "Pisum sativum (pea) long non-coding RNA (PSAT_LNC031603)". Lineage: Eukaryota; Viridiplantae; Streptophyta; Magnoliopsida; Fabales; Fabaceae. The record is from RNAcentral.